RNAcentral lists this ribosomal RNA (292 nucleotides) under uncultured bacterium. RNAcentral's name for it is "partial 16S ribosomal RNA". It matches the Rfam family "Bacterial small subunit ribosomal RNA", at positions 333 to 621 of the family's 1533-position model. The record is from RNAcentral.
GGGGCCCUACGGGGGGCAGCAGUGAGGAAUAUUGGGCAAUGGGCGGAAGCCUGAACCAGCCACGUCGCGUGAGGGAAUAAGGCCCUACGGGUCGUAAACCUCUUUUGCCGGGGAGCAAGGGCGGGGACGUGUCCCGGCCCGGAGAGGACCCGGAGAAAAAGCAUCGGCUAACUCCGUGCCAGCAGCCGCGGUAAUACGGAGGAUGCGAGCGUUAUCCGGAUUUAUUGGGUUUAAAGGGUGCGCAGGCCGGCUUUUAAGUCAACGGUAAAAAUUCGGGGCUCAACCCCGGCCG